CAAAACACAAAGAAAAACACAGCAACAUGUGGGAAGAGGAGCCAUGUUGCGAAUCAAAACAAAGUCAGGAAGUUUUGUGUGUGUGAGGUCUUUGUUGUUUUGAACAUUAUGUAAGCUGACAGGUUACCUUUGACGCACGUCUUGGCUUCUGGCAGAACAAUUAAGAAGUUAAAAAAAAAUGAGAUUCGCGAGUUGGACCAACUAACGUGUUCUUCGUCAACAAAGAUGCGGUCACAUCGGAUGCGGGCGGCCACACUACGCUUCCCUCUCCUUCUUCUUCUUGUCUUCUCUUCUCCCUCAACCGAGGAUAUGCAGCGGCCUUCUCGUCAGGCGCUGACCAAAGAACAGGAACCCUCCAGCAUUGUGCGCGACCACUGAGCCGGUUCCCGUCGAGCAAACAGGAAGUGACGGCGGCGCGGGGGAAAAAAUUGUCUAAAAUUAGGAGCUCCGGGAGCAGCGGAGAGCCCAGCGCAAGGACAACAACAAGGCCAUUAAGGAAAUACCUUCAUGUCCAAGCCAGGUUGACCCCGCUGACAUGACAUUUACCCUCAAGCCACAAGCCGAUUUUCAACUCACGCCUGAUGUCAGCCAAUCACGGGAGACUUCAGCUCAGUGAGUACUGCGAGGAUAACAGCCGCAAGUGCGUUUAGCUUUUUAAAGGCAAACUCACAAUUGCAGUAUUAUGCAAAAAAAACGUGUUUUACGUAAACAACAACUUUUCAACCGGAUCAUUUGAAUAAAUCAGCCGUGCAGUUCAUUGAGCUAUUGGGUUGGUGACACUUUGAACGUGCAGCAAAUUUUCAACAAGAUUUUUUCAUUCCCGAGAACAAAAGGCUGCUCAUGAGGGGGAAAUCACAAGUACACGUGCUGCUAUUGUACAAAUGGGCUGAGCUUGAGCUCAUUAAUUCAUGAGAAGACUUUUAUUAACUCUGGAUCUAAAAAAAAAAAAAAAUAGAAGGAAACUAAAGAGGCCAUAAUUACGUUUUUGAUCACUUUACAAUAAACUUACACCAGUGGAUAUAUCGAGGGGCAAAAAGUACUUAGUAUACUAAGUAUACGCGUGCGCGCGUGUGUGUGAGUGUGUGCGUGUGUUCUCACGUACCCCUCUGAAGUAGCGCUCAUCUGAGAAGAACGCGAAAGAAGACAUUUUCUUUUGCGGCCCGAAGAGAGACAAAGCGUAAACUUGAUUGGAAACAUCCAUUUGCUCACCUUGCGGGGGGCUGCCAUCCACCACCUGCCUGCAUGGGACGCCUCACUUAGGCCCCUCCUCGCUCACUUGCCUGCCAAAACCGCCAGCCGCCCCUCCACACAUCCAAAACAAAAACAAUUGAAGCAACACGCAACCCAACAAUUUCCACAACAAGUUCCACGUUGCGCUCAGAAAACGUCAAAAUAGAAGAAAAGCCUUCGAUGGUAGCUGGAUGUCAAAGUUUGGGUCCAAAAGUCCGCCACGCUGGAAGAAGAACAAGAAGAAAGAAAAGUGAGUCAACUGUCAAGAAGCCGAACGGCUCACGUCAAGCUAGAGGAAUUCUGGGGGAGACGCUUCCCAUACACAUUUUUACUCUUCACAAAAUAAGAGCUGCAACUGCAAAAAAACUUACCAAAUGGAAUUUUGACAUGUAAAUAUUUGCACAUUGUUUUGUACUUUUUAAAAAACAACUGGAAUUAUUUUAUGAAACAAAACAAAAAAAGCAUUCAAGAAAAUGAUGUCAAUAUUUCGUGGCAAUUAAAUGCCAAACAGGUUUUGAAAAAUUAAAUACCUACUUUUCUUUAAAAAUAAACACUGUACAAAAAGAAGGAAAUAGGCACUUUUAAAUUUCAGUAAGAAAUGCUUUAUUGGAACAAAAAUAAUUUCAUUCUUUCUAAAUUUUAAAUUAAAACUACCCCUAUUUCGACUUAAUUUUCUCAAAAUGAAAUUAGUUGAAAAAAAAAAUGCAAUUUCAAACUAAUUACUGUUGAAGAAUUCAACUAAAUAGCUGUGAUAAGUGUUACGAGAUGCCUUUUUUUAUUUCCUACAUUUAAGGUACGUACUAUAAAACAGUACUUGGCCAUUUAAUGCAUGAAAACAAAUCUAGAAAAAAAAAUAAAAUUAGAACACAUACCUCCGGCAAAAUGAAAAUAAAAAAUCUAUAUACAAGUGGAAAAUGCCGUGUUCCCUUUUUCACUUUUGUGCCCAAUUUCAUUCCAAAUGU
Syngnathus typhle (broad-nosed pipefish) is the source of this 2192-nucleotide long non-coding RNA. RefSeq lists it as uncharacterized. The record is from RefSeq and is a predicted model, not a curated record. The transcript has 3 exons. Lineage: Eukaryota; Metazoa; Chordata; Actinopteri; Syngnathiformes; Syngnathidae.